RNAcentral lists this ribosomal RNA (223 nucleotides) under uncultured Rhodanobacter sp. Its description in RNAcentral is "partial 16S ribosomal RNA". Lineage: Bacteria; Pseudomonadati; Pseudomonadota; Gammaproteobacteria; Lysobacterales; Rhodanobacteraceae. The record is from RNAcentral.
UGGGACAUUCUCAGUACCGUCAGACUGCACACGUAUUAAGCAUGCAGAUUUCGCUCCUGAUAAAAGUGCUUUACAACCCGAAGGCCUUCUUCACACACGCGGCAUUGCUGGAUCAGGCUUGCGCCCAUUGUCCAAUAUUCCCCACUGCUGCCUCCCGUAGGAGUCCCCCCGUGCCCCCGCCCCGCCCGCCGCGGGCGGCGGGGGGGGGGGGGGCACGGGGGGA